UUGGAGGGCAAGUCUGGUGCCAGCAGCCGCGGUAAUUCCAGCUCCAAUAGCGUAUAUUAAAGUUGUUGCAGUUAAAAAGCUCGUAGUUGAAUUUCGGGAUCAAUAUGUCGGUCGUGCCUUCGGUACGUACUGGCAUCAUUGGUUUCUCCCUUCUGACAAACCAUGAUGUCAUUAAUUUGGUGUUAUGGGGAGUUAGGACUGUUACUUUGAAAAAAUUAGAGUGUUUAAAGCAGGCAUUAGCUUGAAUACAUUAGCAUGGAAUAAUGAAAUAGGACGUUUGACCCUAUUUUGUUGGUUUCUAGGAUCGACGUAAUGAUUAAUAGGGAUAGUUGGGGGCAUUAGUAUUCAAUUGUCAGAGGUGAAAUUCUUGGAUUUAUUGAAGACUAGCUACUGCGAAAGCAUUUGCCAAGGAUGUUUUCAUUAAUCAAGAGCGAAAGUUAGGGGAUCGAAGACGAUCAGAUACCGUCGUAGUCUUAACCAUAAACUAUGCCGACUAGGGAUCGGAUGAUGUUAAUUUUUUAAUGACUCAUUCGGCGCCUUACGGGAAAC
RNAcentral lists this ribosomal RNA (549 nucleotides) under uncultured Glomeromycotina. Its description in RNAcentral is "SSU rRNA". It matches the Rfam family "Eukaryotic small subunit ribosomal RNA", at positions 548 to 1098 of the family's 1831-position model. Lineage: Eukaryota; Fungi; Glomeromycota. The record is from RNAcentral.